UACGGAGGGUGCAAGCGUUAUCCGGAUUUACUGGGUUUAAAGGGUGCGUAGGUGGUUAGGUAAGUCAGUGGUGAAAUCUCCGGGCUUAACCCGGAAACUGCCAUUGAUACUAUUUAUCUUGAAUAUCCUGGAGGUGAGCGGAAUAUGUCAUGUAGCGGUGAAAUGCUUAGAUAUGACAUAGAACACCAAUUGCGAAGGCAGCUCACUACGGGAUCAUUGACACUGAGGCACGAAAGCGUGGGGAUCAAACAGG
RNAcentral lists this ribosomal RNA (253 nucleotides) under uncultured bacterium. RNAcentral's name for it is "partial 16S ribosomal RNA". It matches the Rfam family "Bacterial small subunit ribosomal RNA", at positions 524 to 776 of the family's 1533-position model. The record is from RNAcentral.